Non-coding RNA from Gossypium raimondii (Peruvian cotton), 118 nucleotides. Lineage: Eukaryota; Viridiplantae; Streptophyta; Magnoliopsida; Malvales; Malvaceae. The record is from Rfam.
UGUUAAAAGUUUCAUCCAUUUGUACUGUUAAAAACUGUGAUACAUGACGUGUCAUGUGUACUCGUGCUGACGUACAAUGUCCAGUUUUUAACAUUAGAAAUGGAUGAAAUUUUUAAUA